This 384-nucleotide ribosomal RNA is filed under the name uncultured Bacillus sp. RNAcentral's name for it is "bacterial SSU rRNA". It matches the Rfam family "Bacterial small subunit ribosomal RNA", at positions 73 to 449 of the family's 1533-position model. The record is from RNAcentral. Lineage: Bacteria; Bacillati; Bacillota; Bacilli; Caryophanales; Bacillaceae.
UGGGAACUUGUUCCCUGAAGUCAGCGGCGAACGGGUGAGUAACACGUGGGCAACCUGCCUGUAAGACUGGGAUAACUUCGGGAAACCGGAGCUAAUACCGGAUACGUUCUUUUCUCGCAUGAGGGAAGAUGGAAAGAUGGUUUCGGCUAUCACUUACAGAUGGGCCCGCGGCGCAUUAGCUAGUUGGUGGGGUAAUGGCCCACCAAGGCGACGAUGCGUAGCCGACCUGAGAGGGUGAUCGGCCACACUGGGACUGAGACACGGCCCAGACUCCUACGGGAGGCAGCAGUAGGGAAUCUUCCGCAAUGGACGAAAGUCUGACGGAGCAACGCCGCGUGAACGAUGAAGGCCUUAGGGUCGUAAAGUUCUGUUGUUAGGGAAGAA